UGUAAUCACGUUCUAACCUUUUGACCGUCAACUUGAAUGGCCGUACGCAAGCUUUCGACACCCAAGUAACUUUCAGAGGUCAGACGGAUAGCCUAAAAGGUAUUCGUUGCAAUCCUCGGUCCUAAUCACCACAUUUACCAAAGGCUAUAACACUUCAACCGAGGUCGAAGCUACAUUCCUCCGGUCAUUUUAUGGCGAUCAAAGCCGACGUUGACCUACCAUACGAAAAAGUACACCUAAGAAAUACGCAUAUUGCAAACAAUGAAGAUCUCAUACGCCCACAAAUGCA
This 289-nucleotide ribosomal RNA is filed under the name uncultured Glomeromycotina. RNAcentral describes it as "partial large subunit ribosomal RNA". Lineage: Eukaryota; Fungi; Glomeromycota. The record is from RNAcentral.